UGGCAUGUACAAACUGUCCGCCUAUUACUGGGCGCGAGUGGGGGCAGAUCUGCCCUUGGAGCUGGCGCUGCCGACUAUCUUUGUUGUGAUUGUGUACUGGCU
Molecule: non-coding RNA, 102 nt
Filed under: Dunaliella tertiolecta
Lineage: Eukaryota; Viridiplantae; Chlorophyta; Chlorophyceae; Chlamydomonadales; Dunaliellaceae
Source: RNAcentral